Molecule: ribosomal RNA, 377 nt
Filed under: uncultured bacterium
Lineage: Bacteria
Description: bacterial SSU rRNA
Rfam family: Bacterial small subunit ribosomal RNA
Source: RNAcentral
AAACGUAGGAGGCUAGCGUUAUCCGGAUUUAUUGGGCGUAAAGCGCGUGCAGGCGGUUUAGCAAGUUGGAUGUGAAAGCUCCUGGCUUAACUGGGAGAGGUCGCUCAAAACUGCUAGACUAGAGAAUGGGAGAGGGAGGUGGAAUUCCGGGUGUAGUGGUGAAAUGCGUAGAUAUCCGGAGGAACACCAGUGGCGAAAGCGGCCUCCUGGACCACUUCUGACGCUAAGACGCGAAAGCUAGGGUAGCAAACGGGAUUAGAGACCCCGGUAGUCCUAGCUGUAAACGAUGUAGACUUGGCGUUGGCGGAGUUAAAUCUGCCAGUGCCGUAGCCAACGCGAUAAGUCUACCGCCUGGGGACUACGACCGCAAGGUUAAA